Molecule: ribosomal RNA, 492 nt
Filed under: uncultured bacterium
Lineage: Bacteria
Description: partial 16S ribosomal RNA
Rfam family: Bacterial small subunit ribosomal RNA
Source: RNAcentral
AGUGAACGCUGGCGGUAGGCCUAACACAUGCAAGUCGAACGGAAGCACAGUAAGAGCUUGCUCUUAAGGGUGGCGAGUGGCGGACGGGUGAGGAAUACAUCGGAAUCUACUUUUUCGUGGGGGAUAACGUAGGGACACUUACGCUAAUACCGCAUACGACCUACGGGUGAAAGCAGGGGAUCUUCGGACCUUGCGCGAUUGAAUGAGCCGAUGUCGGAUUAGCUAGUUGGCGGGGUAAAGGCCCACCAAGGCGACGAUCCGUAGCUGGUCUGAGAGGAUGAUCAGCCACACUGGAACUGAGACACGGUCCAGACUCCUACGGGAGGCAGCAGUGGGGAAUAUUGGACAAUGGGCGCAAGCCUGACCCAGCCACACCGCGUGGGUGAAGAAGGCCUUCGGGUUGUAAAGCCCUUUUGUUGGGAAAGAAAAGCAGCAGGUUAAUACCCCGCUGUUCUGACGGUACCCAAAGAAUAAGCACCGGCUAACUUCGUG